Molecule: ribosomal RNA, 497 nt
Filed under: uncultured bacterium
Lineage: Bacteria
Description: partial 16S ribosomal RNA
Rfam family: Bacterial small subunit ribosomal RNA
Source: RNAcentral
GAUGAACGCUGGCGGCGUGCCUAAUACAUGCAAGUCGAGCGAACAGACGAGGAGCUUGCUCCUCUGACGUUAGCGGCGGACGGGUGAGUAACACGUGGAUAACUUACCUAUAAGACUGGGAUAACUUCGGGAAACCGGAGCUAAUACCGGAUAAUAUAUUGAACCGCAUGGUUCAAUAGUGAAAGACGGUUUUGCCGUCACUUAUAGAUGGAUCCGCGCCGCAUUAGCUAGUUGGUAAGGUAACGGCUUACCAAGGCAACGAUGCGUAGCCGACCUGAGAGGGUGAUCGGCCACACUGGAACUGAGACACGGUCCAGACUCCUACGGGAGGCAGCAGUAGGGAAUCUUCCGCAAUGGGCGAAAGCCUGACGGAGCAACGCCGCGUGAGUGAUGAAGGUCUUCGGAUCGUAAAACUCUGUUAUUAGGGAAGAACAAAUGUGUAAGUAACUAUGCACGUCUUGACGGUACCUAAUCAGAAAGCCACGGCUAACUACGUG